UACGUAGGGUGCGAGCGUUGUCCGGAAUUAUUGGGCGUAAAGAGCUCGUAGGCGGCUUGUCACGUCGGGUGUGAAAGACCGGGGCUUAACCCCGGUUCUGCAUUCGAUACGGGCUGGCUAGAGUGUGGUAGGGGAGAUCGGAAUUCCUGGUGUAGCGGUGAAAUGCGCAGAUAUCAGGAGGAACACCGGUGGCGAAGGCGGAUCUCUGGGCCAUUACUGACGCUGAGGAGCGAAAGCGUGGGGAGCGAACAGG
Molecule: ribosomal RNA, 253 nt
Filed under: uncultured bacterium
Lineage: Bacteria
Description: partial 16S ribosomal RNA
Rfam family: Bacterial small subunit ribosomal RNA
Source: RNAcentral